RNAcentral lists this ribosomal RNA (418 nucleotides) under uncultured eukaryote. RNAcentral describes it as "eukaryotic LSU rRNA". It matches the Rfam family "Eukaryotic large subunit ribosomal RNA", at positions 981 to 1390 of the family's 3401-position model. The record is from RNAcentral.
CUGGAACUUAUUGUGAAGUAGUUUUAUCAGGUAAAGCGAAUGAUUAGAGGCUUUGGGGAAGAAACUUCCUCGACCUAUUCUCAAACUUUAAAUAGGUAAGAUUUGAAGGAUACUUAAGUGAUCUUUCAAUCUCUUGAAUAUAAAGUUCUUAGUGGGCCAUUUUUGGUAAGCAGAACUGGCGAUGUGGGAUGAACCGAACGUUAAGUUAAAGUGCCAAAUAAUACGCUCAUGAGAUACCAUAAAAGGUGUUGGUUCAUUUUGACAGCAGGACGGUGGCCAUGGAAGUCGGAACCCGCUAAGGAGUGUGUAACAACUCACCUGCCGAAUGAACUAGCCCUGAAAAUGGAUGGCGCUUAAGCGUAUAACUUAUACUUAACCCCUUACUUGAAUUAUAAUAGCGAGUAAGGAGUAGGAGGGC